This 452-nucleotide ribosomal RNA is filed under the name uncultured bacterium. Its description in RNAcentral is "bacterial SSU rRNA". It matches the Rfam family "Bacterial small subunit ribosomal RNA", at positions 354 to 796 of the family's 1533-position model. The record is from RNAcentral.
GUAGGGAAUAUUGCGCAAUGGCCGCAAGGCUGACGCAGCAACGCCGCGUGGGGGAUGAAGGUUUUCGGAUCGUAAACCCCUGUCGAGAGGGACGAAAGGUGAAUGGGUGAAUAACCCAUUCGCUUGACGGUACCUUUAGAGGAAGUUCCGGCCAACUUCGUGCCAGCAGCCGCGGUAAUACGGGGGGAACAAGCGUUGUUCGGAAUUACUGGGUUUAAAGCGCGCGUAGGCGGAAUAGCAAGUCUGGUCGUGAAAUCCUCCGGCUUAACCGGAGAAUGGCGCUGGAAACUGCUGUUCUUGAGUGCGGAAGAGGAAAGCGGAAUUCACGGUGUAGCGGUGAAAUGCGUAGAUAUCGUGAGGAACACCGGUGGCGAAGGCGGCUUUCUGGUCCGCAACUGACGCUCAGGCGCGAAGGCUAGGGGAGCAAACAGGAUUAGAAACCCGAGUAGUCC